Dermochelys coriacea (leatherback sea turtle) is the source of this 3177-nucleotide long non-coding RNA. RefSeq lists it as uncharacterized. The transcript is spliced from 2 exons. Lineage: Eukaryota; Metazoa; Chordata; Testudines; Dermochelyidae. The record is from RefSeq and is a predicted model, not a curated record.
UGAGCACCCAACAUUUUUUGCCCAGAGUUGGCUCCUGGCAGGAGCCACAUAUUUUCUUUUGAAGAGCUGAUGGUUGGCCAUGCCUCUAUUAGACUUGUUCAAGCAGAUUGGGUUCCCUAUGUCAACUCUGGCCACCAUAAUCCUUUCCCUGUUCAGGCUGAGCAAGAAUGGGGCAAGCUGUGCUGUGCAUAACCCUUGUCUGCCUGCUGUGCACUGCUCAGGGAGGAGGCAGAGCGCGGAAGGAGAAAGGCCUGUGGGUUAGGCCCCAGGUGCCAGGCUCUCCACAUUGAAACAAUCCCGAACUGGAGCUGUGCUGUAAGGCAUCAACAGCUGCUCUCAUGUCCUCCUGUUACCCAGUCCACACAGGGAUUCGGACCUAGCACUGUGAGCAAGAAACUGAUCUGGGCGCACAGCUAAGAUCAGGUUCAGCAACCCCUUGGUGAUCAGAAGGUUGCCUUCUCUCAUGCUAGGGCCUACUCCCUGAAGUGCUGAUGUAACAGGGCAGAGCGAUGGUGUGUCUCCUUAACUAGCUGCUGUCGUUGAUUGAGACAUUGGCUGUGAGGCAACACCAUCUGAUGGCUGAGGUAAAUCACUCUUCUGCAGUGAUGCUGCACUUUUUGGUUGUGCCCCAGCCCGAACAGGCUAGGUGGCCCCUGAGGUGAGUUAGGGUGGAGUUGAUGCAGGCAGGAAGUAUCACCUCAGCAGACCACACAGCCUGUCUGGGUUUGGGGGGGGAAGGAGUGCAACCUGUGUAGUCUCUAAGGACCCUAGUUUGAGAACUGCUAAUCUAAAGAAAUACCUCCCAUGGGUGGUGGCUGGAUGCUGUUUCAGUCCAAGGUACUCCUACUCUGCCUUUCUACAGCUCCCGGUGUUUUUACAACAUUUGUCUCUGUGGUAGCAACUCACCUGAUGAAUCGGUAUUUUUGUGUACCUCGAUGCAGACUAGCUACUGAAGGCUGGUGUAUGCGAGGACCUGUUAAGCCAUAAGGUGUUUACAGCCAAUCUCUACAGAUUUUUGGCUCCUCCUCAAAGGAUUCCCUUCCUUGGCACCGUACUGGACGUGGUAGAGGGGAGAGCUUGCCUGCCAGAGGCUUUUUCAAAAUGAGCAACUACCUAUUAAAGAUUAGGUGAUGUCCUACUUGGAGAGUAAAAUUCUUUGAGUCUCAUGGAUCUUAUAGCAGCCCCUACCUACAUGACUUUGCCUGUCUGAAAAAAAGAUAUCCCAAUUCUACAGGCCAAGCGGGGACAGUCUUCACUUGAUCACCAUGCCUCAGAAUAUCAUAGCUGCUCUAGACUGGUGAUUAGUCAGAAUGAGUGUACUCAGUGAGGUACUAUUCAAUCCCCAUGCCCAUCCUGGACAGUGGCUUCAGACACAUCAUGCAUGAUCCCUGAAGGAUCAGUUGGUUCAGGCUAUGUUCUCCAACUGGGGUCAGCUAGAUGUGGAUUUGUUCACAACACAGGCCACCAAAAAGUUUUGCCUCUUCUGUUCUAGAGAAGACAGGGACAGUCACUUUGUGUCAGAUGCCUUCCUUCUGGGCUGGGGGGAGGAGCUGAUGUGAACACUUUAGUGAGGAAGAGACACCAGGCCAGAACAAGAAUGAGUCUCAUUGUCCAGGUUUAGCCACACCAGGAGUGUUUACCCAUCUCCUGCAACUGUCCGCUGGUCUCCAGAUAUGUUGUCAUAGCAGGAGCUUUCAUCUGGCCCCACAUCUCUGCCUGAAAAUGUGGGUGACCAGACUUGGCUUUGUCUGCUCUUGAAGAGGUGAUGUACCUUAUCCAUGCAAGACCUACUUGUUCACUCUAGAAGUAGUCCAGUUGAAGUGGUCCUUAUUUCAGGCAUGGAUGAAGAAAAGUUCUUAUUGCCUGUAUUGGCUUCCAUUCUUUGUGUUCUGAACUAUUUAUUUCACUUAAAGAAUCAAACUGAUCAUUAAGUGUUUACAAGCAUUUAAUACCCAACUGGCUGCCAAGUAGAGGGUAGACUUGUUUGUUCAUGUUCAUGGUUCAGUUAAGAGAGCUCAUGCCUGCCUUGGGACCUUAAUUUGGUUUUGACUAUGUUGAUGAAAUCACUCUUCAACCCUCUGUCUAAGUAAUCUCUCAAAAUGUCCUUCAUUGUUGCUGUCAGCAGGCAGGAGAAUGACUUAAACGCACUUAUGGCUGAUCCCCCUUUCACAAGCACAAUGUAGUUCUAAGAGCCAGUACCAGAUUCUUUCUUAAGGUAGUCUCUCUGAUUCCACUCCCCCCCCCCCCCCCGCCCCUCACUGCACUCUAAUAAAGGGGACUCUGUCUUUUGGAUCCUAGAAGGGUUCUUAAGUGGACAGAAUUAAGUUUUUGUAACUCCAUUUCAACUGUUUGCAUCUUAUGCUAAGAAUACUUGGGUUAUAGGGUUCUCUCCCCCCUCCAACUCUGUAUUGCUGAAUGUUGCAUGCUAGCAGAUGUUCCUGUACUUGCUGUGAUUCAUACACAUUCCAGGAGAGGCGUGGCUACUUCCUUUUCCUGUCUUUGAUGGGUGGCCCUCAGAGUUGCAAUCUGGGUUUUAGUGCAUACCUUAAAUACUAGGCUCUGGCAAGGUGGUGCUCCAGUAUCUAGGACUCUGUUCCGAUUUUCAGGUGUGUUUUUAGCACUGCUUAUUAGGGUUCCAUAAGUGGUAAUAUGCAGAACCACUCAAAGAAGAAAUGAAGGUUACUUGCGCAUAACUGCAGUGCUUGAAGAGGGUUCUGCAUAUUCAUACUUUCCACUUGUCUUCCCCUGUGAAAAGACUGCUUGUUCUGUGUUUGUGGAAGACACUGAGGUAAGGGUACUCUGCCCCGCUGUAGCCUUGCCCUCAGAACAGGAAAAGGUGGGGCCAUAGAAGUACUCUAGUUGCCUCUGCCAGAAGAAGGUUCUACUUGAAGUUACCACCCCAUAUAUAGCAGAGCCAUUUCUAAGAACAGGUAAGUAACCCUCAUUUUGUGGUGGUGAUCCUGGCAUCAACAACCCCCUGUAGGAGUGGAGGUGGGGAAAUGAGACUCAGGUGGUUUUUUGUAACAGCCUUACAUUUGUAAUCAUAAUUUUUAUUUCUUGUAUCUAGUGACAACUGAAGCCUUCAUCUUUUAACCAUUGAAGAGCUGGAAAUGUUUGUACAAAGAUACUUCUCAAUUAGCUUUUGUUAUGAAACACGAUAGAAAAGGCACAAUUUUU